UCGGGGUGAUGUUUAUGGAAUGAGCGGCGGACGGGUGAGUAACACGUGGGCAACCUGCCUGUAAGAUCGGGAUAACUCGCGGAAACGUGAGCUAAUACCGGAUAACACUUUUCAUCUCAUGGUGAGAAGAUAAAAGACGGUUUCGGCUGUCACUUACAGAUGGGCCCGCGGCGCAUUAGCUAGUUGGUGAGGUAACGGCUCACCAAGGCGACGAUGCGUAGCCGACCUGAGAGGGUGAUCGGCCACACUGGGACUGAGACACGGCCCAGACUCCUACGGGAGGCAGCAGUAGGGAAUCUUCCGCAAUGGACGAAAGUCUGACGGAGCAACGCCGCGUGAGUGAUGAAGGUUUUCGGAUCGUAAAACUCUGUUGUUAGGGAAGAACAAGUUGGGUAGUAACUGACCCAACCUUGACGGUACCUAACCAGAAAGCCACGGCUAACUACGUGCCAGCAGCCGCGGUAAUACGUAGGUGGCAAGCGUUGUCCGGAAUUAUUGGGCGUAAAGCGCUCGCAGGCGGUCUUUUAAGUCUGAUGUGAAAGCCCACGGCUUAACCGUGGAGGGUCAUUGGAAACUGGAGGACUUGAGUACAGAAGAGGAG
RNAcentral lists this ribosomal RNA (601 nucleotides) under Oceanobacillus profundus. Its description in RNAcentral is "bacterial SSU rRNA". It matches the Rfam family "Bacterial small subunit ribosomal RNA", at positions 72 to 659 of the family's 1533-position model. The record is from RNAcentral. Lineage: Bacteria; Bacillati; Bacillota; Bacilli; Caryophanales; Bacillaceae.